AUUAAAUCAGUCUGAAUCUAAAGGCAAUUGUUGGAAGCGAUUUCAUCGUUUUUUACUUGGAUAACUGUGGUAAUUCUAUAGCUAAUACACGCCAAUGAUGGUCGUCCUAAAUCCUCCCCGGAGGAGAUGACCGCUAUUGUUACAUGCAAAGCACUGAAUUCUUAGGGAUUCAAGGAAAACGGAUGAAUCACAACAAAUUAGCCGAGCGCAUGGUCUUGCACCGACGCUGUACCUUUCGAGCGACUGCCUUAUCAGCUUUCGAUUGUAGGGUAUUGGCCUACAAUGGCGAUAACGGGUAACGGGGAAUCAGGGUUCGAUUCCGGAGAGGGAGCCUGAGAAACGGCUACCACAUCUAAGGAAGGCAGCAGGCACGCAAAUUACCCACUCUCAGCACGGGGAGGUAGUGACAAUAAAUAACGAUGCGUGUCUCUUUCUGAGGCCUCGCAAUCGGAAUGGAUUUAUACUUAAAUCACUGAAAGAGGAGCAAUUGGAGGGCAAGUCUGGUGCCAGCAGCCGCGGUAACUCCAGCUUCAGUAGCGUAAGUUAACGUUGCUGCGGUUAAAAAGCUCGUAGUUGGACCUUGGGUGCGGACGGGCGAUUCACCCUUCUGGGAACUAGCGGUUGAGAGUUCACUCGAUGCCAAUAGACCCGUUGGCUGAUAUCAACGCCCGAUUCAUCCGUCACUGAAUGAAAGAUUUGUCGGUUUAUGCGCGUGUUGGGGUGUCUUCACGGGUGUUCUGGCUCGCGUGUCCGACAAUGUCACUUUGCAAAAAUGAGAGCGCUUAAAGCAGGCUUGAUGCCAUGAAUAUUGAUGCAUAGUACGAGAGAAAAGGACUUUGUCUCUGUUUGGUGCACAGAAGGACAAAGUAAUGAUUAAGAGAGACAGACGGGGACGUUCGUACUGCGGCGUUAGAGGUGAAAUUCUUGGAUCGCUGCAAGACGAACAAUCGCGAAGGCAUUCGUCCAGAACGCUUUUCUUAAUCAAGAACGAAAGUUAGAGGAUCGAAGGCGAUCAGAUACCGCCCUAGUUCUAACCGUAAACGAUGCUGACCGGCUAUUAGUCGGUGUUAUACCCAAACACCCGAUUAGCAACCCCCGGGAAACCAGAGUUUUUGUGUUCCGGGGGGAUGUAUGGUUGCAAGGCUGAAACUUAAAGGAAUUGACGGAAGGGCACCACCAGGAGUGGAGCCUGCGGCUUAAUUUGACUCAACACGGGGAAACUUACCAGGACAGGACAUCGGAAGGACUGACAGAUUUGAAGCUCUUUCUCGAUUCGAUGGGUAGUGGUGCAUGGCCGUUCUUAGUUGGUGGAGUGAUUUGUCUGGUUAAUUCCGAUAACGAACGAGAUUUUGCCCUGCUAAUUAGUCUGCAGAUUAUCUCGGGGUCGUUCCGCUCGUCUUGCGGCUUGUGGGGCGUCCCGAAACUUCAUGGCUUGGUUAUGCUCAGCGGAACCGAUCCUCGGGUGUGGUGUCCUUCGUUUGGGUUCUGCCCUUGCGCUGGUUCUGCGGUUCGAGUUCGGAGCUCUCGUUGGUGUAUCUCGCCUAAUGAGGUGUCUGCAUUUUGUCUUCUUAGAGGGAUCGGCAUUGUAUAGUUGCACGAGAUUGAGCAAUAACAGGUCUGUGAUGCCCUUAGAUGUCUUGGGCUGCACGCGCGCUACAAUGGAGAGUUCAACGCGUUUUCUGCCUGCUCCGAGAGGAGUUGGGAACCCGCUGAAAUCUCUCCUCAAUUGGGAUUGCGGCUUGCAAUUGUUCCUCAUGAACGAGGAAUUCCUGGUAAGCGUGAAUCAUCAGUUCACGAUGAUUACGUCCCUGCCCUUUGUACACACCGCCCGUCGCUACUACCGAUUGAAUGAUUUAGUGAGGCCGUUGGACUGGCGCCCUAGAAUGGGGAUUCUGUCUCUUAUCGUGGGUCGACGGGAAGAUGUCCAAACUGGAUCAUUUAGA
RNAcentral lists this ribosomal RNA (1943 nucleotides) under Hexapleomera urashima. Its description in RNAcentral is "SSU rRNA". It matches the Rfam family "Eukaryotic small subunit ribosomal RNA". Lineage: Eukaryota; Metazoa; Arthropoda; Malacostraca; Tanaidacea; Tanaididae. The record is from RNAcentral.